Molecule: small RNA, 107 nt
Filed under: Marmota monax (woodchuck)
Lineage: Eukaryota; Metazoa; Chordata; Mammalia; Rodentia; Sciuridae
Source: RNAcentral
GCCAGGUGUGGUGGCACAUGCUUAUAAUCCCAGUUGCUCAGGAGGCUGAGGCAGGAGGAUUGGAAGUUUGAGGCUUACCUCGGCAACUUACCAAGACCCUGUCUCAA